Molecule: ribosomal RNA, 502 nt
Filed under: uncultured bacterium
Lineage: Bacteria
Description: partial 16S ribosomal RNA
Rfam family: Bacterial small subunit ribosomal RNA
Source: RNAcentral
AUUGAACGCUGGCGGCAUGCCUUACACAUGCAAGUCGAACGGCAGCAUAGGAGCUUGCUCCUGAUGGCGAGUGGCGAACGGGUGGGUAAUAUAUCGGAACGUGCCCUAGAGUGGGGGAUAACUAGUCGAAAGACUAGCUAAUACCGCAUACGAUCUACGGAUGAAAGUGGGGGAUCGCAAGACCUCAUGCUCCUGGAGCGGCCGAUAUCCGAUUAGCUAGUUGGUGGGGUAAAAGCCUACCAAGGCAACGAUCAGUAGCUGGUCUGAGAGGACGACCAGCCACACUGGGACUGAGACACGGCCCAGACUCCGACGGGAGGCAGCAGUGGGGAAUUUUGGACAAUGGGGGCAACCCUGAUCCAGCAAUGCCGCGUGAGUGAAGAAGGCCUUCGGGUUGUAAAGCUCUUUUGUCAGGGAAGAAACGGUAGUAGCGAAUAACUAUUACUAAUGACGGUACCUGAAGAAUAAGCACCGGCUAACUACGUGCCAGCCGCCGCUGUAA